RNAcentral lists this long non-coding RNA (1906 nucleotides) under Ricinus communis (castor bean). RNAcentral's name for it is "long non-coding RNA (RCOM_LNC000130)". Lineage: Eukaryota; Viridiplantae; Streptophyta; Magnoliopsida; Malpighiales; Euphorbiaceae. The record is from RNAcentral.
UUCAUAAAACCGUGUCUUCUUAUGUAUUUGUAUGUAUAUUUACUGUUCCAUUGCUAUUUUCCCUACCAAUGUGCAAAUAUGCAUGUCGACAAGAAUACAAUACCAUUCUUUGAUGUAAAGAUGGCCUCUAAAGUCCAUUAAAAGAAGGUAGCAUCGCAUGCAGCCAUUUCGCGUGUUUGUUUGAUUAAUUUCGGGCUUCUUUUUUAGCAUUCCUUUCAUACUUGCCGGUGGAGGAACACGAAGGAAAAUAUUAAGAAAUUAACAAGCCAUGAAGGAUAUCAUGAAGUUAUAUGUUCAAAUGGGAGGAUCAGCAGCUGGUUUCUCUUAUCAUCAUCAUCAUCUAGAAUGUAGAUAAGUAACUUUUUAUGUUUUCUAUUUCCAUGACUUUUAGAAAGAAUAACUAUUAACUCUUUAAGUGAUGCAAACUAAACCCCUUCAUUUUUUUUCUCUUUCUUUGAUAGGAAUUAAAUAUCAUCAAACAACACUUCUUGAUUACCCAGAUGAGAAAGUGGCUCGACAAUAACGUAUUUAAUCCAAAAAGUUACUGGAAAUUGGAAAGAAAAAACAAACAAGUGAAAAAGAAACGCCGAUCAUAACCAGAAGCUAGCAAGCUUUGCCGAUCUCUCCAUCUAGCUGUUGAGGUAAAACGUUCAAGCUAAACUUACUUAUACUAGUCUCUUGCGUCACUAGAAUCGAAGUCCCUUCUAUUUGAAGGAUGAGCAAAACGAGAAUAAGGACUUCCAAACUGCAUUGGAUCGCUCAUUACAAGCUCUUCCUGUGGCUGUUGUUGAGAAGAUACGGAUGAUGAUGAUGAAGAUGAGUCUCUACCGUAAGUACCCGGAGCCAUAGCAUAGUUUAAGCCAUAACUCGAACCUCCUAAAAGAUACUCUGGGUAUUGGAAGUAACCUUGUUGGUAUUGUUGUUGUAGUAAUUGUGGAGGGCGAGGAGGAGGAGGAGGAGCAGCAGCAACUCGGUUAGAAACCUGUUCGCGAUUAGUCAAGUAACCUAAUUCACUUCUGCCUUGAACUCUUUCCGGGAAGUUAAGUUUAGCUUUGCUUCCUUUAAACCUAAGAGCUGCUUCGUCAUAGGCAAGUGCUGCUGCUUCAGCUGUAUCAAAAGUACCAAGCCAUACCCUAGCUGCCUUGUUUGGGUCCCUGAUCUCAGCUGCCCACUUUCCCCAUGGUCUUUGCCUCACUCCUCUAUAGUGUCUUCUCCUAACAUUCCCUACACAAGCAUUAAACAAGUAUGUGCUAGCUUCUUAGAGUUAGUAUGCAUGAUAUUCACUACAAACCGCACUUGGUAAUAACUUAGAUACUGAGAUUAGGGCCAAAAAAUAUUCUAAUAAGUAAAUUGAAUUUUAAUUAUAAAAAAGACAAGAUCCAAGUAGAAGAAAAGAGUUGAGGUUAAUUAGGUAUAAUUCAUGGAAAAGUGAGAAUUAAGCACAUCAAUCAAAUAUCACUCGCAUCAUAUCCCCAAGUCUUUAUUAGAUAUUAAGAGAAGAAAGAGCAAGUAAUUAAAACCAAUAGAUAUGAAAUAAAAACUGAAGGUAUAAAAAAAACAUAACAGCAACUCAAAUAUAUAGUUUGAGACCAUUCAUGCAAAUGUAAAAUGUUAGAUAAGAAAAUAAUAAAUUGUUUCUGAGUAUGAGCAUAUAUGUGAUGAAUCACCUUGAUCUUGAAUCGGUUGUGGUUGAUCAUUGUGUUGUGCGUUUGAUUGUGCUAAUGAUACUGGGUUUGCAUGCACUUGAACUGGAUUACUUUGGCUACUCCCGAUGACUUGAGCUAGGGCUGAAAUCAUUGCAUCCAUAUCUUGUUGAGAUCGAGCUGAGUAGACAGGAAAGACAUGAUCUUCCUCUUUCUCUUCCGAUUCAUUGAAUGAAAGGGGCCUCUUCCCAUGAUUUCGAUCC